CAAGAGCUAUUCUUGAGGUUUGGCCUGUGGCCCUGCACCAUUUCUCGAGUAUCUUCUGUUCUGAGUUGGAAACUGUGCUUCUCACCACGUAAUUCAGCCAUCAGUGCUUUCUGUACCCUGUAUAGCCGAUGCAAUUCAUGCACCUGACGCAAGAAAAGGAGGAAUGUAAAACUCUGAGUUGCAGAAUGACAAAGACAAUCACAGAACAGUAGUAGUUGAUUUUCAGAUGAAUGACUGUGCAGGUUAACAGCACCAUGCACUGCAUUAUAUCAUGAAGGGCAAAGAGGAUUCUAUGAGUACGAAACAAAUCAGUAGCCAUUCCUGAAACAGUCAGAGGGAAAGGUCAGGCUCGUCACCAGUAUUGUCUGCAUGGGAUAGAGGGAAAUCAGCCGAUGCUGGAUGCUGGGCCAACACAGCGUCGCGAAAUCAAACGUAGAGCAGCAAUUCACAUGAAGAUUCACUCACCUGAAAAUCGGCGACUCAUGCUGCGGCUGCUUAUCUCGC
This is a non-coding RNA of Aegilops tauschii subsp. strangulata, 504 nucleotides long. Lineage: Eukaryota; Viridiplantae; Streptophyta; Magnoliopsida; Poales; Poaceae. The record is from RefSeq and is a predicted model, not a curated record.